CCUACGGGGGGCAGCAGUGGGGGAUAUUGCACAAUGGGGGAAACCCUGAUGCAGCGACGCCGCGUGUGGGAAGACGGUCCUCUGGAUUGUAAACCACUGUCCCCAGGGACGAAAAUGACGGUACCUGGGGAGGAAGCUCCGGCUAACUACGUGCCAGCAGCCGCGGUAAUACGUAGGGAGCGAGCGUUGUCCGGAAUUACUGGGUGUAAAGGGAGCGUAGGCGGGGAUACAAGUUGGGUGUCAAAACUACCGGCUCAACUGGUAGUCGCACUCAAAACUGCAGCUCUGGAGGGAAGUAGAGGCAG
Molecule: ribosomal RNA, 305 nt
Filed under: uncultured bacterium
Lineage: Bacteria
Description: bacterial SSU rRNA
Rfam family: Bacterial small subunit ribosomal RNA
Source: RNAcentral